This 510-nucleotide ribosomal RNA is filed under the name uncultured bacterium. RNAcentral describes it as "partial 16S ribosomal RNA". It matches the Rfam family "Bacterial small subunit ribosomal RNA", at positions 28 to 507 of the family's 1533-position model. The record is from RNAcentral.
GACGAACGCUGGCGGCGUGCUUAACACAUGCAAGUCGAACGAAGAGCGAUGGAUGCUUGCUUCUAUCAAUCUUAGUGGCGAACGGGUGAGUAACGCGUAAUCAACCUGCCCUUCAGAGGGGGACAACAGUUGGAAACGACUGCUAAUACCGCAUACGAUCUAAUCUCGGCAUCGAGGAUAGAUGAAAGGUGGCCUCUACAUGUAAGCUAUCACUGAAGGAGGUGAUUGCGUCUGAUUAGCUAGUUGGAGGGGUAACGGCCUACCAAGGCGAUGAUCAGUAGCCGGUCUUGGAGGAAGAACGGCCAAAUUGGGACUGAGAAACGGCCCAGAAUCCUACGGGAGGCAGCAGUGGGGAAACUUCCGAAAUGGACGAAAGUCUGACGGAGCAACGCCGCGGGAGGGAUGACGGCCCUCGGGUUGUAAAGCUCUGUUAAUCGGGACGAAAGGCCUUCUUGCGAAUAGUGAGAAGGAUUGACGGUACCGGAAGAGAAAGCCACGGCUAACUACGUG